RNAcentral lists this ribosomal RNA (468 nucleotides) under uncultured bacterium. RNAcentral describes it as "partial 16S ribosomal RNA". It matches the Rfam family "Bacterial small subunit ribosomal RNA", at positions 28 to 507 of the family's 1533-position model. The record is from RNAcentral.
GACGAACGCUGGCGGCGUGCUUAACACAUGCCAGUCGAACGGAACGGUCCUGCAUUUGUGCGCUGCUCGAGUUGCGAACGGGUGAUUAACACGUGAGUAACCUGCCAUUGACUUUGGUAUAUCUUCAGGACACUGGGUCUAUUCCCGGCUAGGAGCUCCUGCUGAAUGGUGGGGCUGGGAAAGUUUCGCCGGUUGGGGAUGGACUCGCCGCUUAUCAGCUUGUUGGUGGGGUAGUGGCUUACCAAGGCUUGGACGGGUAGCCUGGCUGCGCGGGUGACCGGCCACACCGCGACUGAGCUGAGGCCCAGACUCCUCCGGGAGGCAGCGGAGGGGUAUAGUGCAUUAUGGGCGGGGGGCUGAUGCAGCCACGCCGCGUGGGGGAUGUGGGCCAUCGGGUUGUAAUCCACUUCCGCCUGUGACGAGGCGUGAGUGACGGUAACGGGUAAAGAAGCACCGGCUAACUACGUG